This 415-nucleotide ribosomal RNA is filed under the name uncultured bacterium. RNAcentral describes it as "bacterial SSU rRNA". It matches the Rfam family "Bacterial small subunit ribosomal RNA", at positions 355 to 794 of the family's 1533-position model. The record is from RNAcentral.
UGGGGAAUAUUGGACAAUGGGCGCAAGCCUGAUCCAGCCAUGCCGCGUGAGUGACGAAGGCCUUAGGGUUGUAAAGCUCUUUUGGCGGGGACGCGGUACCCGCAGAAUAAGCUCCGGCUAACUUCGUGCCAGCAGCCGCGGUAAUACGAAGGGAGCUAGCGUUGUUCGGAAUCACUGGGCGUAAAGCGCACGUAGGCGGAUUUGUUAGUCAGGGGUGAAAUCCCGGGGCUCAACCUCGGAACUGCCUUUGAUACUGCAAAUCUCGAGUCCGGAAGAGGUGGGUGGAAUUCCUAGUGUAGAGGUGAAAUUCGUGGAUAUUAGGAAGAACACCGGUGGCGAAGGCGGCCCACUGGUCCGGUACUGACGCUGAGGUGCGAAAGCGUGGGGAGCAAACAGGAUUAGAUACCCGAGUAGU